Molecule: ribosomal RNA, 253 nt
Filed under: uncultured bacterium
Lineage: Bacteria
Description: partial 16S ribosomal RNA
Rfam family: Bacterial small subunit ribosomal RNA
Source: RNAcentral
UACAGAGGGGGCAAGCGUUGUUCGGAAUUACUGGGCGUAAAGGGCGCGUAGGCGGCCUGCUAAGUCGAACGUGAAAUCCCCGGGCUCAACCCGGGAACUGCGUCCGAUACUGGCAGGCUUGAAUCCGGGAGAGGGAUGCAGAAUUCCAGGUGUAGCGGUGAAAUGCGUAGAUAUCUGGAGGAAUACCGGUGGCGAAGGCGGCAUCCUGGACCGGCAUUGACGCUGAGGAGCGAAAGCUAGGGGAGCAAACGGG